UCUGCCUACGGGACGCAGCAGUGGGGAAUAUUGCACAAUGGGGGAAACCCUGAUGCAGCGACGCCGCGUGAGUGAAGAAGUAUUUCGGUAUGUAAAGCUCUAUCAGCAGGGAAGAUAAUGACGGUACUUGAGUAAGAAGCCCCGGCUAACUACGUGCCAGCAGCCGCGGUAAUACGUAGGGGGCAAGCGUUAUCCGGAUUUACUGGGUGUAAAGGGAGCGCAGGCGGCUUGGCAAGUCUGAUGUGAAAGGCUGGGGCUCAACCCCAGGACUGCAUUGGAAACUGUUAGGCUGGAGUGUCGGAGAG
RNAcentral lists this ribosomal RNA (305 nucleotides) under uncultured bacterium. RNAcentral describes it as "bacterial SSU rRNA". It matches the Rfam family "Bacterial small subunit ribosomal RNA", at positions 334 to 656 of the family's 1533-position model. The record is from RNAcentral.